Molecule: ribosomal RNA, 442 nt
Filed under: uncultured bacterium
Lineage: Bacteria
Description: bacterial SSU rRNA
Rfam family: Bacterial small subunit ribosomal RNA
Source: RNAcentral
ACUCCUACGGGAGGCAGCAGUGGGGAAUAUUGCACAAUGGGCGAAAGCCUGAUGCAGCAACGCCGCGUGAGCGAUGAAGGCCUUCGGGUCGUAAAGCUCUGUCCUCAAGGAAGAUAAUGACGGUACUUGAGGAGGAAGCCCCGGCUAACUACGUGCCAGCAGCCGCGGUAAUACGUAGGGGGCUAGCGUUAUCCGGAAUUGCUGGGCGUAAAGGGUGCGUAUGUGGUUUCUUAAGUCAGAGGUGAAAGGCUACGGCUCAACCGUAAUAAGCCUUUGAAACUGGGAAACUUGAGUGCAGGAGAGGAGAGUGGAAUUCCUAGUGUAGCGGUGAAAUGCGUAGAUAUUAGGAGGAACACCAGUUGCGAAGGCGGCUCUCUGGACUGUAACUGACACUGAGGCACGAAAGCGUGGGGAGCAAACAGGAUUAGAUACCCUGGUAGUC